UCAUCUCUUUCAACUUUCGCAUCUUCUUUUCAUCAUCUUCCAUCUUCCAGUUAAGAUCAAUUUUCUAAUUUAAGAAAUUCCCUCAUUCACCAAGGGCCAAGAAAGAAACUGAAAUCAUCAGGAACUUCCGAAGCCUCGAAAACCAUUUCAUGAUCUUCACGAAUCUUCACCAAGCAAAGAGUUCACUUGAUCUGUUCAACUCAGUUUACCGCUGAUCAUCAUCUCUCUUUUACUCUUUGACAGUUAUCAUCAUCAUCAUCACUCUCUCAAUCCAGUAAUCAUCACCUCCAUCAACCAAUCUAGUCGGUGGAUUCAUAUUACGAACCACCAAUAACCGAUUGUCAGCCAUCUUCUUUUUUCAUCUUCUCCAUUUUUUGACAUUUUCUUUUGUUUCUCUUUUUCAAUCAUCUCAAUCAUUACAUGUUGUCACCUUUACUCUUAUUGCUGUACUUUGAAAAUCUCUUAUCAUCUUCAUCUUCAUAAUGAUUCUCAUGCAACAGUUUAUAUUGUUUACCAUUCAAGUUAAUAACCCUCAUCAUCUUCAUCAUCAAAGGCCAACACUUUAUCUUCAUCAAUUGUCACCAUCAUUCUUGUUAAACUAAAUCUAAUUACUCAACACUAAUUGUCUACAUUCAAUUGAUUCAAUAUUUUCCUCAGUGUUGAUCGUCAUGUCUUCUUCAUCAAUUUACUGGUCAUUGUUGUUUCUAAUUGUUUAUUGUCCAUUUUUCCUUCUGUUUACAAGUCAAUCUACUCAAGCAAUUAACUUGAUCAAUUCAAGAAACUCUAAAUCAUCAUCGUAUUCACAUGGAGGUAAAAAAUUAGCAACCAAAUCCUCCAAUGAAACCUCAUCACAAUCAAAGCCAAAAUUUUUUCUCCCAACAAGUUUAUCAAUCAACAAGGAAAUUAAAGUUUACAUUUUUGAUCAAGAGGUUAAAAGAUUCACAUUCAGCAUUGAGAGUAAACUAGAAGCUCCAUUAACGUUAACAGUUACUCCAUGUUCGGACCCGAUCAAGUGGACAUUUGAGUUUAUCGAAGACACCGAUUCGAAAGAACUUAUCAGUUUGAAGAAACGUCGUCGACAUGGUAAACAUGGACAUCGUAAUCAUAAUCGUUUGCGACAUCGAAGACACCGAAAUGAUGGUAAACAAUUACAAUCGUCAACCGAUGGAUCUCAAAGUGAAUCGUCCACAAGUCGUUUACUAUUUAAAUACAAUGGAAUUAAUCGUAAAUCAUUUACCGAUAUUCGUCGUCAAUAUUCUGGUCAAUAUGUUAUACAAUUAUCGUCGAGCAAAAGAGCGACCAGUGCAACGUUAAUCCUUUCUCACUUUAAUCCUUAUCCAUUAUUGCCCGUUAAUGAUAAUCUGUCAACCUUAUCAUUAACAGAAUCAAGUGUCACCUUAACCUGGCAACAAUCACCCAGUGAACCUGAUUAUCUUGUUGAUUAUUAUGCGAUCAUUAAUCAAGAUCAUAAUGUAAUCUCUUACUGUGAGUAUCUUCAACAAACGGAAUCUUUACUUAAAUAUCCAUCAUCAUCUCUAUCAUUACGAUCAUCUAAUAUCUCAAUGGUUAAAGUACCAAUUACACUGACAACCAAAUCACCAGUUGAAUUUAAUGAUGAUUUUGGUAAUAAUUUGAUCCGUCUCGGGGAAAAUAAUAUUGAUAAUGAAGUUAUCAAUCCAUCCAUGAGUCCAUUUGUCCGUUGGUAUGAACGUACCAUGGCUAAAACAUGGGAAUCUGAGUUAUCCCGGAAAAAUUGGACCUCUCGCAAUAUAUUUCGUAUCGAACCUGUUGGAAAAGGUUCAACUCAUUACCAGCACACUUUCAGGUCACUUGAACCCUCCACAAGAUAUUAUAUCGAUGUGAUUGCCGCAAUCAAACACACUGGACGUACUUCAUUGUACAAAGGAUUCAAUGUCACCACCAAAGAGAAACCUAAGAUAAUGUCAUCGUCUUUACCUUUGUCAUCAUCUUCGAUUGCUGUCUCAUCUAAUGCGAGGAAAUCCAAUUCUUUGUUAACUAAAUUGAUUAAAUUACGAGAUAAACGGUUGGUCAGUGUUUCACUUUCCAGGAGAAAUAAUUACACCGAGAUAAUGACCUACAAUUACAAUGAGAGUGAUUUUAAUGUUGGUGAAAGCCUUUGGCUGUUUGUUCAAGUUUGUUCGGCUUCGUUAACACCGGUUGAUGUUAUAAUCCACGGAGCUAAUCCACCGGAUAAUUCAGUGUUAAUCAAGGAAAUUGGAAUCACCGGAAGUCGAGUGAUCAAUAUCCCGAUGGGAUUUAAAUGGUAUAACCAAAGUAUUUACAGUAAAAGUUUAACCGAUGAAAAGCAAUCAAUGGUUAUCUCAUUAAACGCCAACAGUUUACAACAUUAUCGUCAUCAUCGUCCUCCUCUUGAAGUGAACUUAAUGAUGACCAAAAAAAGACUUCAUAUUCCGUAUCCACAAUUACCACGGGAUCGGAUAAUUCGUGUUCUUGACCUUCUUUCAACAUGUAAUUCAGUUUCGUUGGCCUGGAUCGCAUCCCCAGAUGAGAAAGCCCGUUAUUGUAUUUACGCGGCUUCCAUUCAACCAAAUGUACCCGAAUCAUUGAUUCACAAUGAAUUAAAGUCACUCGCUGGGUUUACCGUUAAUUCAACAUCUCCAUCAUUCUGUGAAUCUCUCCAAUCAACAGCAAUCAAUGAAACAGAUAAAAUUAAAGGUAGAAAACAAUUAAAAUCCAAUACGAAGAAAAAAAGUAUUCUUGACAAAUCGAAGCAUUUUAAACGAUUAAAAUGCCGUCGAUUUGCUCCUGGUACUAAUUCCCGUUUACACCAAGUGAUUAUCCAAGAUGUUGAUAAUCUAAAUCCAUCAACUGAAUAUGUUUUCCUGGUUGAACUGAUCAAAUCCAACAAAGGAUUAACAGCUUAUUACAAUCCAUUAACAACAUCAACAAAAUCAAAGGAAACAUGUUAACAAUUAAAAUCCAUUGACAGUAAAGGUAAAUUUACAUAAACUACAAUUUACUAAUUAUCUUGAUGUUUAAUUUAUGACUCGGCUAAUUGUCCAUCACAUAAAAGAUUAAGAUUCACGAAAGAGGAUCAACAAGGAACGUCAAAAAUGUUUAUCAUCCUCAUCAUCGUAAACAGAUCAUCAAAAUUUAUCUAAAAACCAUUGAGUAAAAUAAUCAACAAUCAAUUGGAAUAUGAAGAUGACCACUUUUUACAAUUUACCCUCGAGUGUUGGUCAAUAAUUAUCAUUGCUGAUUAUAUGGACAAUUAUAAUAACUUUUUUUUCUCAUGAUAAACUUGAUCCUGUCUCUCAAUCUUAAUAUCCUCUAAUUGAUGUGAUUUUCACCAAGAGAAGAUCAAAGAAGAAGAAGAAAAAAAAAUCUCUCAUUCUACUUUUCAUCUUAAUCAUAUUCGUGAUUUACAGAUUAUAUUUAUUACCAAUCCAACUAACGGACACUCACUAGACACACUAAAUAACAGAAAUUGGAAAAACAUCCCAAUCAAAAUGAAGAUUACACCAAGAGGCAACAAUUAACUUCGGGAAAAUUGUUUACAAUCAAUGAUUUUAGUUGACCAGUUUGAAGACGAUUUUUGUUUUCCCUUAAUUGUAACCAAUUUUCAUUCAUUCAGCUUAAUGUCAUGUAAAAAUGUUAUUAGUGUCACAAUUAAGCUGAUUGUUUCGUUUUUUUUUCGGCAACUUUCACCUUUUUUCUGGUCUUAUUCAUAUUCAUCAAUUUAAUCUAAUGCAAUCAGUUUGAUUACGUUAGUAAUUUAAUGCUCAUCAAUCUCAUAAUUUAAAUUGUGCUUCAUAUUGUGCUUUUUGUAUUUUAUAUUAAUUACAGAGAAAAAGUUAAUCAUUAAUUAAACUGAAGACAAAUGUAACAUCAAUCCAAUUAAAUUGAUUGAUUUUCGUUUGAUAUGAAUUACAAUUAAACCAUAUUUCAACCUGA
RNA transcript from Panonychus citri (citrus red mite), 3936 nucleotides. It is a transcript of the gene named protein NDNF-like, with no coding region annotated. NCBI's taxonomy places the organism in Eukaryota, Metazoa, Arthropoda, Arachnida, Trombidiformes, Tetranychidae. The record is from RefSeq and is a predicted model, not a curated record. The transcript is spliced from 4 exons.